This 1365-nucleotide ribosomal RNA is filed under the name metagenome. RNAcentral describes it as "SSU rRNA". It matches the Rfam family "Eukaryotic small subunit ribosomal RNA", at positions 1 to 1425 of the family's 1831-position model. The record is from RNAcentral.
UCUGGUUGAUCCUGCCAGUAGUCAUAUGCUUGUCUCAAAGAUUAAGCCAUGCAUGUCUAAGUAUAAAUAGUAUACAGUGAAACUGCGAAUGGCUCAUUAAAACAGUUAUAGUUUAUUUGAUAAUUGACAAUUACAUGGAUAACCGUGGUAAUUCUAGAGCUAAUACAUGCUUAAACGCCCGACUUUAUGGAAGGGUGGUAUUUAUUAGACUGAAGCCAAUAUUCCUUGUGUCUAUUGCGGUGAUUCAUAAUAACUGAUCGAAUCUCUUUUUGAGAUAAAUCAUUCAAGUUUCUGCCCUAUCAGCUUUCGAUGGUAGUGUAUUGGACUACCAUGGCAGUAACGGGUAACGAAGAAUUAGGGUUCGAUUUCGGAGAGGGAGCAUGAGAAACGGCUACCACAUCUAAGGAAGGCAGCAGGCGCGUAAUUACCCAAUCCUGACUCAGGGAGGUAGUGACAAGAAAUAGCAAACCGGGAACCUCAUGGUUUCACGGUAUUGCAAUGAGAACAAUUUAAAACCCUUAGCGAGAAUCAAGUGGAGGACAAGUCUGGUGCCAGCACCCGCGGUAAUUCCAGCUCCACUAGCGUAUAUUAAAGUUGUUGCAGUUAAAAAGCUCGUAGUUGAACCUCUGUCUGGGGCUAGUUUUGGCUUUGGUCAGGCUAGUUCUAGGCAUCCGCCUACAAGACUUAGAGGGCAUUCAGUUGUUCACUAGGAGGAGUAGGCAUUUUACUUUGAAAAAAUUAGAGUGUUUAAGGCUGGCAAUCGCCCGCAUAUAUUAGCAUGGAAUAAUAGAAUAGGACACUUUUCCAUUUCGUUGGUUAUUGGAAUCGUGUAAUGAUUAAUAGGGACAGUUGUGGGCAUUUGUAUUUAAUUGUCAGAGGUGAAAUUCUUGGAUUUAUUAAAGACAAACUAACGCGAAAGCAUUUGCCAAGGAUGUUUUCAUUAAUCAAGAACGAAAGUUAGGGGAUCAAAGACGAUCAGAUACCGUCCUAGUCUUAACUAUAAACUAUUCCGACUCAAUGUUUGACUGGCUUAUAUAACCAGUUGAGCGUUGUAUGAGAAAUCAAAGUCUUUAGGUUCUGGGGGGAGUAUGGUUGCAAAGCUGAAACUUAAAGGAAUUGACGGAAGAGCACAACCAGGAGUGGAUUCUGCGGCUUAAUUUGACUCAACACGGGGAAACUUACCAGGUUAAAACAAUAGUGGGAUUGACAGUUUGAGAGCGCUUUCUUGAUUGGUUGGGUGGUGGUGCAUGGCCGUUCUUAGUUGGUGGAGUGAUUUGUCUGCUUAAUUGCGUUAACGAACGAGACCUUAACCUGCUUACUAGACUGGCGAUCAUCAAUCGUUAGCUCUUCUUAGAGGGACUUUGG